Molecule: non-coding RNA, 4179 nt
Organism: Peromyscus maniculatus bairdii (prairie deer mouse)
Lineage: Eukaryota; Metazoa; Chordata; Mammalia; Rodentia; Cricetidae
Source: RefSeq, a predicted model, not a curated record
UAUUUGGGUUCUUGGGACCUGCCUUUUCCAUCUCUGUAAGAUGCUAAAACCGAUAAAAGGCAGGGGUAAAGAUGCCAACUGUCCUUAUUCCCAUAUUUAAAGUUUUAAUUUUUCCUUUACUUUGUUUUUUAAUCCAGACUCUGUCUUUAUUUGAAAGGUUAAGACCAGGCUUUCCAUGUACACCUGAAUCCUCCCAUGCCUCCCCACUGCUCCAAAUGCACAAGUCCUGCUCUCUGCUUAGGAAGACUGAUCUGCACGGGAAAAUCAUUCUAUACCAGACUCAACAAGAGUGACAUGACUGACCCCUGUGUAAUCAUGCACCAAGAAACCCUGCUGAGUUACCACUCCUGGCUGCAUUCACUCACCGAAGAUCAUAUGUCUUGAUAAGUGGCUUUCCAUCACAGUCUGUUUAAAGUUUUCAGUCAAGCCCUUCUCUCUGAUGCUCCCUGCCUGAUACUGACUCUGGGAUGAUACAGGAGCAUAAUGGUGUGCCACCACCCUGCUCACAUCUUUGUAACUUGCCAUAUAUAAAAAUGUCCCAGCUGUGUCCUCUUUUUCCUGCUGGGACAGGGGCAGGAUAGGUACUAGGUUCUAUGACCCCCCUUCCCAUCCCUCACUCAUGUGUCCUGGUCUCCCUCUAUGUCAUUGUGUCACCUUAGUGAUUUUGCCUAGUUGUUCUCACUGACCAGCUCUUUGCCGCUCUUUGCCUUGGUGGGUUUCUAACCUACAGGAGGCAGAAUCCCUGAGUAGCUUGGCUGUCUCUUGGAGAACUCAUUUCCUGAUCUUUAUGUAGAAUUUGUGAUGUGAGUAGCUGGAUUCCACACUUUUAUCUGGCCUCUGGUAACAGGGUUCCUGCAUACUUAGCAGCUCACAGCCUGUGAGCUCCCAAGUUUACCAGACAUCCUCCAUACCUUCAUGUCCAGCACCAUGACCCCAUUGCUUACUCCCUGUAGUUGGAAUUUUCUUUGGGCCACCAACCAGCUCCAAAUAAAGACAUGGAGAAUUCUUAUUAAUUAUAAAUGCUCUUCCUUAGAUUAGGCUUGUCCCGCUGGCUCUUUUAACUUAAUUUAAUCUAUUCCUAUUUAUCUACAUUUUGCCUGGAGCUUUUUACCUUUCUUUCAUUCUGUAUGUCCUACUUUCCUACUUCCUCCAUAUCUGGCUAGCUGGCCCUUGGCAUCUCUUUCUUUCUUCCCCUGAACCUAAAUUCCUCCUCCUACUUAACUCUCCCUGCCUGGAAGUCCCACCUAUACCUCCUCGCUCACUAUUGGCCAUUCAGCUUUUCAGUAAUCCAAUCAGGCAGGCAAGGUAAAACAGUAACAUAUCUCUACAUAGUUAAAGAAAUGCAACACGUCUUUGCACAGUUAAACAAAUAUUCCACAACAGCCCCCAUUACUGUACCUGCCAGUCUCAGUGACUUUAGGCCUGGCUGCUACUUGGUCCUUGGUAAUCUUGCUCCUACAUCUCAUUCAUCCCUGGUCCAAGAAGCUCAGAAUCUGUCUAGACUUCUCUGUGUUGGUCCCAUCAGACCUCCAGUGUAGGAAGUUUUUUUUCUGUCAAAAUUAGAGGACUAUUAUAAUAUUUACAAUAGAGACAAAGAAAAUAUAUACAUAUUAAUACAAGUUAAUUAUUUUGUAGAAGGAUUAAAAUAUAUCAGUUAAUAGGUGUAUGUUAGUCAUUUUUCUGUUACUCUGAUGACAACAAUGUAAAAGGAAGAAAAGUCCCUUUUCACUUACAAGGUCACUUUGCCCUGUUCUUUUGGGGAUGUGGUGGCCUGUUGACCCCAUGGCAGCUGGAUGCAAAGAAAAAAGACAAGGAAAAGUUUGAGUUUCAGUAUGUUUUCCAAGAACAUGUCCCACUUGCAUUCCUAUACUUAACUUUUUCCAACUGUAACCCACCUUGUUAAGGUUUCACCAACUCCUAACAUUGCCAUCGUUGGGGACCAAGAUUGACUUGUGGGCACCCUUGUGUCAUCACACAACAGCACAUCCUUGGAAACAAACUAGGGGAGAAGGAACCUCAACUGAAGAACUGCCUCCAUCAUACUGGUCUGUGGGGAACUGUCCUAAUUGAUGCAGGAGAGCCUGGGAUAUUUAAGAAAGGUAGCUGAAAAAGCCAAUAAACAGCAUUCCACUAUUCUUCCCACCUCUGCUCCUGCUUGAGUUCCUUCCCUGACUUCCCUCAGUGAUGAGCUGUUACCUGGAAGUAUAAGCCAAAUAACCCCUUUCCCCCCAAGUUGCUUUUGGUCAUGGUGUUAUCAUAGCAACAGAGAAGGAAGGUAGAACACAAGAUAUUCCAGAUCCAUACUAUAGUGAGGCUCUUUAUGUAUUUACUCACUUGGAGAUUUGUUGGUUUAUUGACUACUCGUAUCAAAUUUUCUUUCCUGGAUAAGGGGGAGAUCCAUGCUUUGUGCAGUGAAAACUGAUAGAACAUUCUGAAGGCAAAAUGCACAGAUAUGAAACCAAAAGCAGAAAAACAGGUGAUACUGUUCACAAUUAUGUCCAGGUGACAUAAGCCAAGUUUUUCUUCCUGUUCUGUGACUUGUGUUCUGGUCUCUAAGGAAAUACAUUUUUACUAAUGACACUGUACUUCUCCCAUUGCACACAUACCUAGCUAUUUGGAGGUCCUUGCAUUAAAGAUUAUACAAGCAAAAGGAGAGGAAGAUGAUAAAACUAAUUAUUGGCUCUAUUACAAAUGGAACUAGAUCUCUAAUAUUUAGGGGCCUCAGGGAGGAGUGUGGAGGAAACCUGGACCAUCCUUGUACUGUCAGAGCAUUCUGUAUGUCCACAGGACCUUCAGAAGCUCAGGAUUUGGGCUAAUUUGGGGCAAUAGUUUAGUCAGUCACUCAUGUCAUGCAUGUGUGAGGACUGAGCUUGAUCUUUAUUACCCACAAACAAAAACUGGGUGUAGUGGCAACUUUAUAAUCCCAGGGCUGGGGAGGUGAAGAUGGAUCCCUGAGGGCUACUGGCCAGCUGGCCUAGCCUAAUCACAAGCUCCAGGUCCUAAUGAGAAAACCUGUCUAAAAAGCCAAGACGAGCAGCUCCUGAGGAACAACACCUGAGAUUGACCUGUGGCCUCUACAUGUAUAAGCUCAGAAUCCCCAAGAAAGGUUUUGGCACCUGAUGCUUGCUAUAGAUUAAGGAACAUCAAUAAGUAAUCACAAGAGAUCAUUAAUCAGGGCAGGAGCUGAGAGUUACAGAAACACAGCUAUAACUUUGUCAGUAUGUUAUUUGUAUUUUCGUUUUUAAAUAGAAAGUAUUUUUAAUUUUCAUUUUGUUUCUCUUCUCAAACUAUUUUAUAUGUCCCAGUGUUUGUUUGUUAUUAACUGUAUAAUGUUGAUAAUAAGUUGCACUACAGUUAGACAAUUGUUACAGACAGAUGAAUGGGGCAGAGCUCUUCUGGAAAACAAGUCAGAUGAAAGCACCAUGAGCAAUGAGACUGUGAUUUUCUUCGAAGAUGGGUGUCAGGGCUACAUUUGGUAUGGUGGAAGUAUUUAUUUAUUUUAAAAGUGAAAACAGAAUAAAUAUCUCUUUGGAAGUCAAACAGAUGGACUUUAUGGGAAAAUUAUAAUUUUUUUCUUAGGCAGAAUCUCACUAUGUAGCCCUGGCUAGCCUGGAACUUGUCUUAUAGAUCAGGUUGGCCUCGAAUUAACAACUCUGCCCUCCCACCCCACCAGUGCUGGGAUUAAAGGUGUAUGCCACCAUGCUUAGUGAAAUUUGUAAAUUUUUGGUGCCUGACAUGCAUCAAAUCUUUCUUACUUUGGACGAUUCCGAAGAUGGGUGGAAGCAAAGUUCCCUCCAGUCAUGGAAGUCAAAAGAGCCACCAGGGAACAGAGAGAGGCUCAGUCAUCUGUACACUCCUCCCCGGAAUGUGUAGUCAGACAGCAGCACAAGCCGUGAGUGAGACUGAGAAGGCAGAGAGUAACCAGGAGACCAAGGGGUGAUCCUGGCCACAUUCCGCCAUUUCUUCAGUUUUAUGUGCAAUUAAAUAUCUUUUCACUAGAUUCCUUCCUGCAACCAAGAACCCAAUAGGUAAUAUCACAAUAUUUAAUUGACUUUUUUGCUAUUUUUUUGGCAUUUUAAUAAAGGAAUGUUGUAAUGAAUUAUUAUACAGGUGUGGGAGAGCUGGCCCCGAUGGUAUGGGGCCAGGAGAGCUGGCUCUGCCCCUCACCUGAGGGGGCAG